Molecule: long non-coding RNA, 550 nt
Organism: Sitophilus oryzae (rice weevil)
Lineage: Eukaryota; Metazoa; Arthropoda; Insecta; Coleoptera; Curculionidae
Exons: 3
Source: RefSeq, a predicted model, not a curated record
UAAAGUUAUUUAAGUUACUUAGAAAAUUAAUUUAUAUUUAGAAAUAUUUGGUAUUUUUCAACCAUUCUUUUUGGUAGUGUUUAAAGAUGUUUUUUAGUCCAGGUAUACUAUGCUAAUAUCACACAAGAGAAUGGUGUCUUUCUGUAUCCUUCCCCUAUAUCCGAAGAGGAAACCUGGAAGAUCCUCUAAUUUUGAUGUUAGGCCACCAGUGACCUGCAUAGCAAGUAUAAAGUAUAGGUACCCGAGAAAGUUACUACCCUCCGUCUAAAAGCUGGCUGAGGGUUUAUCGUUGACCAUAGGUUAAAUUAGCUGAGCAAGAAGGUAACACAUCAAAAAUCACAUCAGGAGACGAAAGAUUUAUACCAGGUUUAUGUAAAAGUUUAGCUCUAUCUUCAACUACUGCAGUGCAAGAAAUUCAAAACAUGUUAAUAAUACAACACAAGAGAACGGUGUCUUUCUGCACCUUUCCACAAAAGAGGGGACCUGGAUUAUCCUCUAACUCUGAUGUUUGGCCAUUGGGAAUCUGCAUCGCAUUAUAUGGGCACCGAAG